RNAcentral lists this ribosomal RNA (1520 nucleotides) under human gut metagenome. RNAcentral describes it as "Bacterial small subunit ribosomal RNA". It matches the Rfam family "Bacterial small subunit ribosomal RNA". The record is from RNAcentral.
ACGGAGAGUUUGAUCCUGGCUCAGGAUGAACGCUAGCGAGAGGCCUAACACAUGCAAGUCGAGGGGUAACGGGGGAGCUUGCUCCCGCCGACGACCGGCGCACGGGUGAGUAACGCGUAUGCAACCUGCCCGUCACAGGGGGAUAGCCUUCCGAAAGGGAGAUUAAGACCGCAUGAGACCACGCCCCGGCAUCGGGGAGGGGUUAAAUAUUCAUAGGUGGCGGAUGGGCAUGCGUGACAUUAGGUAGUUGGUGGGGCAACGGCCCACCAAGCCGACGAUGUCUAGGGGAACUGAGAGGUUGAUCCCCCACACUGGUACUGAGACACGGACCAGACUCCUACGGGAGGCAGCAGUGAGGAAUAUUGGUCAAUGGGCGGAAGCCUGAACCAGCCAUCUCGCGUGCAGGACUACGGCCCUACGGGUCUUAAACUGCUUUUAUGGGGGGAUAAAGUCGGGCAUGCGUGUCCGUUUGCAGGUACCCCAUGAAUAAGGAUCGGCUAACUCCGUGCCAGCAGCCGCGGUAAUACGGAGGAUCCGAGCGUUAUCCGGAUUUAUUGGGUUUAAAGGGUGCGCAGGCGGCCCGUUAAGUCAGCGGUGAAAUGUCGGGGCUCAACCCGGGCACUGCCGUUGAAACUGGCGAGCUUGAGUACGGAUGAAGUCGGCGGAAUGUGAUGUGUAGCGGUGAAAUGCUUAGAUAUGUCACAGAACACCGAUUGCGAAGGCAGCUGACUAAUCCGCAACUGACGCUCAGGCACGAAAGCGUGGGGAUCGAACAGGAUUAGAUACCCUGGUAGUCCACGCAGUAAACGAUGAAUGCUAGCUGUUUGCGAUACACUGUAAGUGGCUAAGGGAAACCGAUAAGCAUUCCACCUGGGGAGUACGCCGGCAACGGUGAAACUCAAAGGAAUUGACGGGGGCCCGCACAAGCGGAGGAACAUGUGGUUUAAUUCGAUGAUACGCGAGGAACCUUACCCGGGCUUGAAAGUUAGUGCCGGACCUGGAAACAGGUCUUUCCGCAAGGACACGAAACUAGGUGCUGCAUGGUUGUCGUCAGCUCGUGCCGUGAGGUGUCGGCUCAAGUGCCAUAACGAGCGCAACCCUUGUCUUCAGUUGCCAGCGGGUCAAGCCGGGGACUCUGGAGAGACUGCCACCGCAAGGUGUGAGGAAGGGGGGGAUGACGUCAAAUCAGCACGGCCCUUACGUCCGGGGCGACACACGUGUUACAAUGGCCGGUACAGAGAGAAGCGAAGCGGUGACGCCUAGCAGACCCCAGAAAGCCGGCCCCAGUACGGAUUGGAGUCUGCAACCCGACUCCAUGAAGCUGGAUUCGCUAGUAAUCGCGCAUCAGCCAUGGCGCGGUGAAUACGUUCCCGGGCCUUGUACACACCGCCCGUCAAGCCAUGAAAGUCUGAAGCGCCUAAAGUCCGUGACCGCAAGGAGCGGCCUAGGGCGAGUCAGGUAAUUGGGGCUAAGUCGUAACAAGGUAGCCGUACCGGAAGGUGCGGCUGGAACACCUCCUU